AGUGAACGCUGGCGGUAGGCCUAACACAUGCAAGUCGAACGGCAGCACAGGAGAGCUUGCUCUCUGGGUGGCGAGUGGCGGACGGGUGAGGAAUACAUCGGAAUCUACUCUGUCGUGGGGGAGAAAGUAGGGAAACUUACGCUAAUACCGCAUACGACCUCCGGGUGAAAGCAGGGGACCUUCGGGCCUUGCGCGCUUGAAGUAGACGAUGUCGGAGUAGAUAGUUUGCGGGGUAAAGGCCCACCAAGGCGACGAUCCGUAGCUGGUCUGAGAGGAUGAUCAGCCACAAUGGCACUGAGACACGGUCCAGACUCCUACGGGAGGCAGCAGUGGGGAAUAUUGGACAAUGGGCGCAAGCCUGAUCCAGCCAUACCGCGUGGGUGAAGAAGGCCUUCGGGUUGUAAAGCCCUUUUGUUGGGAAAGAAAUCCAGCUGGCUAAUACCCGGUUGGGAUGACGGUACCCAAAGAAUAAGCACCGGCUAACUUCGUGCCAGCCGCCGCAGUAA
This 506-nucleotide ribosomal RNA is filed under the name uncultured bacterium. RNAcentral's name for it is "partial 16S ribosomal RNA". It matches the Rfam family "Bacterial small subunit ribosomal RNA", at positions 29 to 523 of the family's 1533-position model. The record is from RNAcentral.